UCCUGCGCGCAGGGAGGAAGGUCCCGGCAAGCCUGGCUGACUAAGCCUAGGCUGGGCCUGCUCCUCCACCCACCCCGAGAUGACUCUCUCUAAAGCCUCUCUUCCUUUGUCAGGAGCGCUCACCACCCUUCAGUCCUAUCCCCUUCAAAUGCCAGACUACCAGAUGGACAUGACAAUACAUUUUUAACACACCUCUGAGCUCCUCCUGAGACGGUCAGGACAGCCUUCAGGAGCAGUCUGGGCUGCUUCUAGAAAUCCAGCUUCAAGAACAGAAAACUAACUCACUGCUAAGAAAAAUAUUGACCUGAAGUCCUGCCAGGCCUCUUUCAUGGGAGAAAUAAGGCUCAUUUGUAAUGAACAGACAGCUGAGACUGCAUGCAGAUGAUGCGGAAGAGCUUGAAAAUGGGAUAUCAUUUUUGGA
Phascolarctos cinereus (koala) is the source of this 421-nucleotide non-coding RNA. The record is from RefSeq and is a predicted model, not a curated record. Lineage: Eukaryota; Metazoa; Chordata; Mammalia; Diprotodontia; Phascolarctidae.